AAAAUAAAUUUCCAACGUCUAACACACAUCGUUUACGGCAUGGACUACGAGGGUAUCUAAUCCUCUUCGCUACCCAUGCUUUCGUUCCUCAGUGUCAGUAAUGAUCCAGAAAGCUGCCUUCGCAAUUGGUAUUCUUUCUAAUAUCUACGAAUUUCACCUCUACACUAGAAAUUCUGCUUUCCUCUAUCAUACUCUAGCUGAAAAGUUUUGAUGGCAGUUCCAGAGUUAAGCUCUGGGAUUUCACCACCAACUUUUUCAACCACCUACGAACUCUUUAAGCCCAGUAAAUCCGAACUACGCUAGGUCCCUUCGUAUUACCGCGGCUGCUGGCACGAAGUUAGCCGGACCUUCUUAUUCGGGUACAGUCAUUUUCUUCCCCGACGAAAGAGCUUUACAACCCAAGGGCCUUCUUCACUCACGCGGCAUCGCUGCAUCAGAGUUUCCUCCAUUGUGCAAGAUUCCCCACUGCUGCCUCCCGUAGGAGUUUGGGCCGUGUCUCAGUCCCAAUGUGGCUGAUCAUCCUCUCAAAUCAGCUAUGGAUCAUAGUCUUGGUAGGCCAUUACCCCACCAACAAACUAAUCUAGUGCGGGCUCAUCCAUUGGUGCAUAAAGCUUUCUCCGUAAAGACUUAUCCGGUAUUAGCACAAGUUUCCUCGUGUUAUUCCAGGCCAAAGGGUAGAUACCCACAUGUUACUCACCCGUCUGCCACUAAGUAUUGCUACUUCGUUCGACUUGCAUGUGUUAGGCGUGCCGCCAGCGUACGUUCUGAGCCAGGAUCAAACUCU
Molecule: ribosomal RNA, 784 nt
Filed under: uncultured bacterium
Lineage: Bacteria
Description: partial 16S ribosomal RNA
Source: RNAcentral